AUUGAACGCUGGCGGCAGGCCUAACACAUGCAAGUCGAGCGGAUGAAGGGAGCUUGCUCCUGGAUUCAGCGGCGGACGGGUGAGUAAUGCCUAGGAAUCUGCCUGGUAGUGGGGGAUAACGUCCGGAAACGGGCGCUAAUACCGCAUACGUCCUGAGGGAGAAAGUGGGGGAUCUUCGGACCUCACGCUAUCAGAUGAGCCUAGGUCGGAUUAGCUAGUUGGUGGGGUAAAGGCCUACCAAGGCGACGAUCCGUAACUGGUCUGAGAGGAUGAUCAGUCACACUGGAACUGAGACACGGUCCAGACUCCGACGGGAGGCAGCAGUGGGGAAUAUGGGACAAUGGGCGAAAGCCUGAUCCAGCCAUGCAGCGUGUGUGAAGAAGGUCUUCGGAUUGUAAAGCACUUUAAGUUGGGAGGAAGGGCAGUAAGUUAAUACCUUGCUGUUUGGACGUUACCAACAGAAUAAGCACGGGCUAACUUCGU
RNAcentral lists this ribosomal RNA (483 nucleotides) under uncultured bacterium. Its description in RNAcentral is "partial 16S ribosomal RNA". It matches the Rfam family "Bacterial small subunit ribosomal RNA", at positions 30 to 506 of the family's 1533-position model. The record is from RNAcentral.